AAACUUUCAACAACGGAUCUCUAGGCUCUUGCAUCGAUGAAGAACGCAGUGAAAUGCGAUAAGUAAUGUGAAUUGCAGAAUCUCGUGAAUCAUUGAAUCUUUGAACGCACAUUGCGCCCUUUGGUAUUCCAUAGGGCAUGCCUGUCUGAGCGUCA
RNAcentral lists this ribosomal RNA (155 nucleotides) under Terfezia claveryi. Its description in RNAcentral is "5.8S ribosomal RNA". It matches the Rfam family "5.8S ribosomal RNA". From Rfam's summary of the family: 5.8S ribosomal RNA (5.8S rRNA) is a component of the large subunit of the eukaryotic ribosome. Lineage: Eukaryota; Fungi; Ascomycota; Pezizomycetes; Pezizales; Pezizaceae. The record is from RNAcentral.